UACGUAGGGGGCAAGCGUUAUCCGGAUUUACUGGGUGUAAAGGGAGCGCAGGCGGUCUUUUAAGUCUGAUGCGAAAGCCUUCGGCUUAACCGGAGUAGUGCAUUGGAAACUGGGAGACUUGAGUGCAGAAGAGGAGAGUGGAACUCCAUGUGUAGCGGUGAAAUGCGUAGAUAUAUGGAAGAACACCAGUGGCGAAAGCGGCUCUCUGGUCUGUAACUGACGCUGAGGUUCGAAAGCGUGGGUAGCAAACAGG
This 253-nucleotide ribosomal RNA is filed under the name uncultured bacterium. RNAcentral describes it as "partial 16S ribosomal RNA". It matches the Rfam family "Bacterial small subunit ribosomal RNA", at positions 524 to 776 of the family's 1533-position model. The record is from RNAcentral.